This 768-nucleotide ribosomal RNA is filed under the name uncultured Bacteroidota bacterium. RNAcentral's name for it is "bacterial SSU rRNA". It matches the Rfam family "Bacterial small subunit ribosomal RNA", at positions 563 to 1336 of the family's 1533-position model. The record is from RNAcentral. Lineage: Bacteria; Pseudomonadati; Bacteroidota.
AAGGGAGCGUAGGCGGACUGUUAAGUCAGCGGUCAAAUGUCAGGGCCCAACCUUGGCAUGCCGUUGAUACUGGCGGCCUUGAGUUCACACAAGGAAGGUGGAAUUCGUCGUGUAGCGGUGAAAUGCUUAGAUAUGACGAAGAACUCCGAUUGCGAAGGCAGCCUUCUGGGGUGUUACUGACGCUGAGGCUCGAAAGUGCGGGAAUCAAACAGGAUUAGAUACCCUGGUAGUCCGCACCGUAAACGAUGAGCGCCCGUCAUUGGCGACACACAGUCAGUGACCAAGGGAAACCGUUAAGCGCUCCACCUGGGGAGUACGCCGGCAACGGUGAAACUCAAAGGAAUUGACGGGGGCCCGCACAAGCGGAGGAACAUGUGGUUUAAUUCGAUGGUACGCGAGGAACCUUACCCGGGCUUGAAUUGCAGAGGAAGGAACUGGAGACAGUGACGCCCUUCGGGGCCUCUGUGAAGGUGCUGCAUGGUUGUCGUCAGCUCGUGCCGUGAGGUGUCGGCUUAAGUGCCAUAACGAGCGCAACCCUCGCUGUCAGUUGCCAUCAGUUAAAGCUGGGCACUCUGGCGGGACUGCCAUCGCAAGAUGUGAGGAAGGUGGGGAUGACGUCAAAUCAGCACGGCCCUUACGUCCGGGGCUACACACGUGUUACAAUGGGGGGUACAGAGCGUUGCUUUCACGCGAGUGAUUGCGGACCGCAAAAACCCUUCUCAGUUCGGACUGGAGUCUGCAACCCGACUCCACGAAGCUGGAUUCGCU